GCAAGUCGAACGGGAUUUGAGUAGCAAUACUUAAUGAGAGUGGCGCACGGGUGCGUAACGCGUAUGCAACCUACCUUUAACAGGGGGAUAGCUCCGAGAAAUCGGGAUUAAUACCCCAUAGUAUUAUUGAUUGGCAUCGAUUAAUAAUUAAAGCUCCGGCGGUUAAAGAUGGGCAUGCGUGCCAUUAGCUAGUUGGUGAGGUAAGGGCUCACCAAGGCGAUGAUGGCUAGGGGUUCUGAGAGGAUUAUCCCCCACACUGGUACUGAGACACGGACCAGACUCCUACGGGAGGCAGCAGUAAGGAAUAUUGGGCAAUGGACGCAAGUCUGACCCAGCCAUGCCGCGUGCAGGAAGACGGCCCUAUGGGUUGUAAACUGCUUUUAUCAGGGAAUAAACCCCCGGAUGUAUCCGGGGCUGAAUGUACCUGAAGAAUAAGCAUCGGCUAACUCCGUGCCAGCAGCCGCGGUAAUACGGAGGAUGCAAGCGUUAUCCGGAUUCAUUGGGUUUAAAGGGUGCGCAGGCGGAUUAUUAAGUCAGUGGUGAAAUCCUACAGCUCAACUGUAGAACUGCCAUUGAUACUGAUAAUCUUGAGUAUAUUUGAAGUGGGCGGAAUGUAGCAUGUAGCGGUGAAAUGCAUAGAUAUGCUACAGAACACCAAUUGCGAAGGCAGCUCACUAAACUAUAACUGACGCUCAUGCACGAAAGCGUGGGGAUCAAACAGGAUUAGAUACCCUGGUAGUCCACGCUGUAAACGAUGAUUACUCGUUGUUGGCGAUACACAGUCAGCGACCAAGCGAAAGUGAUAAGUAAUCCACCUGGGGAGUACGAUCGCAAGGUUGCAACUCAAUGAAUUGACGGAA
RNAcentral lists this ribosomal RNA (860 nucleotides) under uncultured bacterium. Its description in RNAcentral is "bacterial SSU rRNA". It matches the Rfam family "Bacterial small subunit ribosomal RNA", at positions 57 to 918 of the family's 1533-position model. The record is from RNAcentral.